GGAGCGCCUCUGACUGACUUCCCCCAUGUGUCCGUGUGGCCACACCGUGCUACUUUCAGAGGCAGUGGGCUUUUCGCUAAGGGAUAAAAAGAAGUAAAACCUUGCCUUUAGCGCAGCUCUCCUUCACUGGGCAGAUUGCUCUCCCUCCCCACUCUCCCAGGCCCAAAUUGGAUCUCAGCGCCUGGGAGCUCCAACUUUAGCAAGUGCGAAAUCCUGUCUUCGGUUUUGGAAUUUUCAUCCGCACAGACUAUAUCAGCCACGGAUAGGAUAUGUGAGAAUACCAGCAUGUCAAGGCUGGGAAUCAUCCUUAGGCAUCACCUAGCCAGUCCUGCCUCUCAUUUUAAGGUGAUCACAGGAUCUGGUUUGCCACUGAAAGGAAUCUUGAUGCUGACCACUUCACCUCGGAGAGCAUGAACUGCUCCCAUGCCUUCAAGAGUUUUAGUGGGUAACCAGGAUGGAACUGCGGUGUUGCUUGCAGGAGAAGCUUACUACUGGUUUCUACUUCUCCAACCUCAUUGGUGGCUAUGCAGGCACUGUCUCCAGACUGUCUAUAUUCAACCCAGUAUCCAAGAAUUUCUUUACCACCAUCACAUUCAGGUUUCUCCCACUGUAGAGUGACACUAUCUUUGGAUAUUGAAAGAAUCUCAAGUUCUCCUGGUUGGCUUGGUUUAUCUGAAAUAUUUUAAAAUAAUGAAAAGGGAGUCAGCUUUACUGGUGAAAUAAAAGGACCAAACAUGGCUUGCUUCUUUAAUUUAACCCCUUCUUCUGAAUUCCUUACCAAAUGGAUCUUUGCAAACAACUGGUUCAGAAGCAGGGCUGGUCUCACUCAGGCCAACAUCAUUCUGUGCGAUGAUGCGGAACUGAUACUCAGCAUCGGGAACAAGCCCUGUGACAGUGUACAUUGUGGUGGUGAUCUGAGUCUUGUUGUGUCUGACCCACUUGUCAGUGGAUGUCUCUUUGCGUUCGAUGUAGUAGCCUGUGACUCUAGAACCACCAUCAUCUUUGGGCCGGGACCAGGACAAGCUAACAGAACUCUUGGUUACAUCGAGUACUUCUGGAGGAUUGCUUGGAGGUUCUGGAGGAUCUGUAAAUAUAAGUGGAAAGCACACAUGUAUUAGAAUACAGUCCCAAGUAUUAUAAGCCAAUGACUUUCAUUUAAAAACAGAAAAGUGCUGAAAUAAUGUUUAUAAUUUUGUGGUUGAAAGGGCACUUACUCAAUGGUGUUUUUGGUGUGACUGGUUCCUCAGAUUUCAAGGGUUUGCUUAUGCCAAACUGGUUUUCUGCUGAAACACGGAAAUGGUAUUCUACAUUCUCUUUGAGGCCUUUUACCACCAGAGAUGUACCUCGGACUCUGGAAUCAAUGGUAUACCAGGCGGCUUUAGGCACUUCUCGUCUCUCGAGGAUGUAGCCUAAGAUGUCAGCACCACCAUCAUCAGCAGGAGGUCUCCAGCUGACCCUCACAGAGCGGACUUGGAUGUCAUCAUAUUCCAGUGGCCCUUCUGGACUGUUGGGACUUCCUAUCACCCUGACCUUGAUGUAGACAGCCUUCUUGCCACAUUUAUUUUCCAGAACCAGGUCAUAAGUGCCAGAAUCACCCCUGUCUGCUUCUUUGAUCACAAGCUCAGUGUGUGUUUCAGAUGUUGCAAUCAUGGCACGCUUACUAAUAUCCUGGCCUUCCUUGGUCCAUUUACAUAUUGGGAAUGGUUUUCCUUUGAUUGGUAUGGUAAGUCUGAUGACGCCACCUUGCCUUACAAAGAUACCUUCUUGGUAUCUUUCAUCAAGUUCAUAAUCAGGAUAUUCUGGAAAAAAAGGUAGGGUUUCAAUUUAGCAUUUGGGGUAGGGGGACUAAGAAAUAAGUCUAUGGCAAUUAUUGCAGAAAGCAAAUGAUCAUAUGUCUCACCAAGCAUUUCAGUGACUUUGACUGUUCCUGGUACCUCAGCAGGCUCACCAGGUCCACCAGCAUUACAAGCUAGGACGCGGAACCUGUAUUCUGCACCCUGAGAAUCAGAGGUGGGGAGAGUGGUGGAAGGGCCUGUGGACUUACGGAUGCUGCUGCGACACUCUAUGACCUCAGACUGCAAGUAAGAGCCAAUCCCGAAGCGGUUUGUUGCAGCCACACGGAACACAUACUCAUUUCCUUCGGUGACGGUUGGAGGAGGCUUUCCAGACACAUAGGCAAUGAUUCGGAUCACCCCUCCAGCAUGGACAACAAUUCUAUCUCUGACACUGGCAUCUAGCUGAAGGUCAGGUGAAACUGGAAGCAAUUGAAAAUUACAAAUGUGAUUUUUCCCCUUCAAUCUGAAACAUAAAUACUGAUGGCAUAAGGAAGGAUUGAUAAUUACCAAGUCUGUCCUUCAUUUCAAUGACAUCUGUGACCUCUCCAGGUUCUCCAAUGCCAGCAAUGUUGACUGCUCUAACUCUAAAUUUGUAGAAUGCUCCUUCCUUUAAUCCUGUCACAACAAGCUUUGUUCCUCUCACUUCUUUAUCUUUACCCUGGGGAGAAAUCAUAGACAUUUUAUAAUUAGAAUAGUUCUUUGUAGCUUCUUGCUUUAAUGGCUUCCUAAAGCAUCACCAGCAGCCUAUUUAACUGUUUACUCUGGGAAAAUUGUUGCUGGUUUAGGUUUUAGGGAUCAGAUAUUACAGGCAACACUGAAUGGAAUAACUUGGCAGGAGUUAUGCUUUAAAAUUAUUGUCAAAUGAUUAAACCUUGAUUUAUUUAUUCCACAUUCCAGGGUUUAUAACCAAAAGAUUAGUAAUAACAUGACUUAACUUUUGAUUCGAUUUCUGACAUUAACAGAUGUUUGGAAUGUGAGUUAAAAUUAUGCUAUUUUCCUGAUUUCUUAAUCCAAAAAGUAUAGACAGAAGUUAAUGGGAUUGAGAAUAACUAUGACAUUUUUUAGUUUAUUCAUAGUGCAUUUCCUUAGUGCCAAGUUUUCCUACCUUUUCCCAUUCUUCUUUUCCUUCUUCUUUAUAUUCAACGAUGUAUCCAGUUACUUUGGAUCCACCAUCUUUUAGUGGGGGAGACCACUCCAGAUCUGCAGAUGAUUUAGUCCAAUCUGUCACUUUGGGAAAUGGAGGACCAGGAGGGGCUGCAAAGAGCCAGUAUACGUUAGUAUUCUUGACUUUUCCAAGGCACUUUUGGAAAAUAAGAUUUAAAAAAAAGGAAUGGUUUCCAGGCUUACCAAUUGGAUCUCUAGCAGUCGCUGGGUCUGAUGGCAGACUUGCUGGACCCACGCCAGCAGCAUUGAUUGCAUAUACCCGGAAUUGAUAGUCGGAACCUUCAAUAAGACCAGUCACUUUAUAAGAAACACCC
Molecule: long non-coding RNA, 3313 nt
Filed under: Homo sapiens (human)
Lineage: Eukaryota; Metazoa; Chordata; Mammalia; Primates; Hominidae
Description: LHRI_LNC563.12
Source: RNAcentral